This 253-nucleotide ribosomal RNA is filed under the name uncultured bacterium. RNAcentral describes it as "partial 16S ribosomal RNA". It matches the Rfam family "Bacterial small subunit ribosomal RNA", at positions 524 to 776 of the family's 1533-position model. The record is from RNAcentral.
UACGUAGGGGGCAAGCGUUGUCCGGAUUUAUUGGGCGUAAAGAGCGUGUAGGCGGCUUGUUAAGUCUUGCGUGAAAUCUCGGGGCUCAACCCCGAGCGGUCGUGAGAAACUGGCAGGCUAGAGUGCGGGAGAGGAGAGUGGAAUUCCUGGUGUAGCGGUGAAAUGCGCAGAUAUCAGGAAGAACACCCGUGGCGAAGGCGGCUCUCUGGAACGCAACUGACGCUGAGACGCGAAAGCGUGGGGAGCAAACAGG